UGUGUGUGUGUGUGUGUGUGUGUGUGUGUGUGUGUGUGUGUGUUACGCGCGUGGGCGCGCAUCCACACACC
RNAcentral lists this microRNA precursor (71 nucleotides) under Sorex araneus (European shrew). RNAcentral's name for it is "miRNA (ENSSARG00000016900.1)". The record is from RNAcentral. Lineage: Eukaryota; Metazoa; Chordata; Mammalia; Eulipotyphla; Soricidae.